CUGAAAGCAUCUAAGCAUGAAGCCCCCCUCAAGAUGAGAUUUCCCAACUUCGGUUAUAAGAUCCCUCAAAGAUGAUGAGGUUAAUAGGUUCGAGGUGGAAGCGUAGCGAUACGUGGAGCUGACGAAUACUAAUCGAUCGAAGACUUAAUCAAUUU
RNAcentral lists this ribosomal RNA (155 nucleotides) under Staphylococcus hyicus. Its description in RNAcentral is "partial 23S ribosomal RNA". It matches the Rfam family "Bacterial large subunit ribosomal RNA", at positions 2771 to 2925 of the family's 2925-position model. Lineage: Bacteria; Bacillati; Bacillota; Bacilli; Caryophanales; Staphylococcaceae. The record is from RNAcentral. RNAcentral also lists the same sequence under 1 other name.